Molecule: transfer RNA, 77 nt
Filed under: Bacillota bacterium
Lineage: Bacteria; Bacillati; Bacillota
Description: tRNA-Met
Rfam family: tRNA
About the family: Transfer RNA (tRNA) molecules are approximately 80 nucleotides in length.
Source: RNAcentral
GGCGGUAUAGCUCAGCUGGCUAGAGCACACGGUUCAUACCCGUGGUGUCAGUGGUUCAAGUCCACCUACCGCUACCA